Transfer RNA from Catenovulum agarivorans DS-2, 73 nucleotides. It matches the Rfam family "tRNA". Rfam says of the family: Transfer RNA (tRNA) molecules are approximately 80 nucleotides in length. Their secondary structure includes four short double-helical elements and three loops (D, anti-codon, and T loops). Further hydrogen bonds mediate the characteristic L-shaped molecular structure. tRNAs have two regions of fundamental functional importance: the anti-codon, which is responsible for specific mRNA codon recognition, and the 3' end, to which the tRNAs corresponding amino acid is attached (by aminoacyl-tRNA synthetases). tRNAs cope with the degeneracy of the genetic code in two manners: having more than one tRNA (with a specific anti-codon) for a particular amino acid; and 'wobble' base-pairing, i.e. permitting non-standard base-pairing at the 3rd anti-codon position. The record is from Rfam. Lineage: Bacteria; Pseudomonadati; Pseudomonadota; Gammaproteobacteria; Alteromonadales; Alteromonadaceae.
GCGGCUGUAGCUCAGUUGGUAGAGCACAACCUUGCCAAGGUUGGGGUCACGAGUUCGAGUCUCGUUAGCCGCU